RNAcentral lists this transfer RNA (112 nucleotides) under Danio rerio (zebrafish). It matches the Rfam family "tRNA". Rfam says of the family: Transfer RNA (tRNA) molecules are approximately 80 nucleotides in length. The record is from Rfam by way of RNAcentral. Lineage: Eukaryota; Metazoa; Chordata; Actinopteri; Cypriniformes; Danionidae.
GUCAGAAUGGCUGAGUGGUUUAAGGUGCCAGACUCAAGAUGAAUCGAUCUUCUCAAGGAAUAAGGAUUCUGGUUUCCAGAUGGAGGCGUGGGUUCAAAUCCCACUUCUGACA